GAUGAACGCUGGCGGAGUGCCUAAUACAUGCAAGUCGAGCGAACAGAUGAGGAGCUUGCUCCUCUGACGUUAGCGGCGGACGGGUGAGUAACACGUGGAUAACCUACCUAUAAGACUGGGAUAACUUCGGGAAACCGGAGCUAAUACCGGAUAAUAUAUUGAACCGCAUGGUUCAAUAGUGAAAGACGGUUUUGCUGUCACUUAUAGAUGGAUCCGCGCCGCAUUAGCUAGUUGGUAAGGUAACGGCUUACCAAGGCAACGAUGCGUAGCCGACCUGAGAGGGUGAUCGGCCACACUGGAACUGAGACACGGUCCAGACUCCUACGGGAGGCAGCAGUAGGGAAUCUUCCGCAAUGGGCGAAAGCCUGACGGAGCAACGCCGCGUGAGUGAUGAAGGUCUUCGGAUCGUAAAACUCUGUUAUUAGGGAAGAACAAAUGUGUAAGUAACUAUGCACGUCUUGACGGUACCUAAUCAGAAAGCCACGGCUAACUACGUG
Molecule: ribosomal RNA, 497 nt
Filed under: uncultured bacterium
Lineage: Bacteria
Description: partial 16S ribosomal RNA
Rfam family: Bacterial small subunit ribosomal RNA
Source: RNAcentral